UAAUCUCACUACGAUCGACUUUUUGUCUUUCCGUAUGUGGACUUGGAUGCUGCCGUGAUAUUCACGACUCGUCUGAAAUGCCUGAGUGUACCCCGCUUUGCGGCGUAUUCGGUGUGAUACAUCUUCACCGGAGUUGAUCCUUUUGGGUCGCGUCUGUAAUAGUGUGGCUCUAUGCUUCGAACCGUCUCCGAGAGACAACCUCUGACA
This 207-nucleotide unclassified non-coding RNA is filed under the name uncultured Serendipita. Its description in RNAcentral is "sequence contains ITS2". The record is from RNAcentral. Lineage: Eukaryota; Fungi; Basidiomycota; Agaricomycetes; Sebacinales.